GUAUAUUAUACAUAGGGCGGAAGCCUGAUCCAGACAUGCCGCGCGUGUUCAGAAGGUCUUCGUCUUGGAGAGCACUUUAAUUCGGGAGGAAGGGCAGUUAACGAAUACUUAACUGUUUUGACGUUACCUACAGAACAAGCACCGGUUAACUUCGUGCCAGCCGCCGCGGUAAUACGAAGGGUGCAAGCGUUAAUCGGAAUUAAUGGGCGGAAAGCGCGCGUAGGUGGUUCGUUAAGUUAGAAGUGAAAGCCCCGGGCUCAACCUGGGGAUUGCUUUCAAAACUGGCGAGCUAGAGUACGGUAGAGGGUGGUGGAAUUUCCUGUGUAGCGGUGAAAUGCGUAGAUAUAGGAAGGAACAUCAGUGGCGAAGGCGACCACCUGGACUGAUACUGACACUGAGGUGCGAAAGCGUGGGGAGCAAACAGG
Molecule: ribosomal RNA, 425 nt
Filed under: uncultured bacterium
Lineage: Bacteria
Description: partial 16S ribosomal RNA
Rfam family: Bacterial small subunit ribosomal RNA
Source: RNAcentral